RNAcentral lists this ribosomal RNA (251 nucleotides) under uncultured bacterium. RNAcentral's name for it is "partial 16S ribosomal RNA". It matches the Rfam family "Bacterial small subunit ribosomal RNA", at positions 103 to 354 of the family's 1533-position model. The record is from RNAcentral.
CGGGUGAGUAACGCGUGGGUAACCUGCCUCAUACAGGGGGAUAACAGUUAGAAAUGACUGCUAAUACCGCAUAAGCGCACAAAACCGCAUGGUUUGGUGUGAAAAACUGAGGUGGUAUGAGAUGGACCUGCGUCUGAUUAGCUAGUUGGAGAGGUAACGGCUCACCAAGGCAACGAUCAGUAGCCGACCUGAGAGGGUGACCGGCCACAUUGGGACUGAGACACGGCCCAAACUCCUACGGGAGGCAGCAG